RNAcentral lists this transfer RNA (64 nucleotides) under Dipodomys ordii (Ord's kangaroo rat). It matches the Rfam family "tRNA". Rfam says of the family: Transfer RNA (tRNA) molecules are approximately 80 nucleotides in length. The record is from Rfam by way of RNAcentral. Lineage: Eukaryota; Metazoa; Chordata; Mammalia; Rodentia; Heteromyidae.
GGUGGCUCAGUGGUAGAGUGCUUGUCUUGCAUGCAUGAGGCCUGGGUUCGAUUUCUCAGUACCA